Molecule: unclassified non-coding RNA, 336 nt
Filed under: soil metagenome
Description: partial contains 5.8S ribosomal RNA, internal transcribed spacer 2, and large subunit ribosomal RNA
Rfam family: 5.8S ribosomal RNA (bases 1-120)
Source: RNAcentral
GAUGAAGAACGUAGCGAAAUGCGAUAAGUAAUGUGAAUUGCAGAAUUCAGUGAAUCAUCGAAUCUUUGAACGCACAUUGCGCCCGCCAGUAUUCUGGCGGGCAUGCCUGUUCGAGCGUCAUUUCAACCAUCAAGCCCCCGGCUUGUGUUUGGGACCUGCGGCUGCCGCAGGCCCUGAAACGCAGUGGCGGGCUCGCUGUCACACCGAGCGUAGUAGCAUACAUCUCGCUCUGGGCGUGCUGCGGGUUCCGGCCGUUAAACCACCUUCAUAACCCAAGGUUGACCUCGGAUCAGGUAGGAAGACCCGCUGAACUUAAGCAUAUCAAUAAGCGGAGGA